CAGCAGCCGCGGGAAUACGUAGGUGGCAAGCGUUGUCCGGAAUUAUUGGGCGUAAAGGGCUCGCAGGCGGUUUCUUAAGUCUGAUGUGAAAGCCCCCGGCUCAACCGGGGAGGGUCAUUGGAAACUGGGAAACUUGAGUGCAGAAGAGGAGAGUGAAAUUCCACGUGUAGCGGUGAAAUGCGUAGAGAUGUGGAGGAACACCAGUGGCGAAGGCGACUCUCUGGUCUGUAACUGACGCUGAGGAGCGAAAGCGUGGGGAGCGAACAGGAUUAGAUACCCCCGUAGUCCCUGUCUCUUAUAC
This 301-nucleotide ribosomal RNA is filed under the name uncultured bacterium. Its description in RNAcentral is "partial 16S ribosomal RNA". It matches the Rfam family "Bacterial small subunit ribosomal RNA", at positions 509 to 807 of the family's 1533-position model. The record is from RNAcentral.